Molecule: long non-coding RNA, 208 nt
Filed under: Mytilus galloprovincialis (Mediterranean mussel)
Lineage: Eukaryota; Metazoa; Mollusca; Bivalvia; Mytilida; Mytilidae
Source: RNAcentral
UACCAUGUAUUUUGUGAAGUUCUAUACACCAAAGAUCAAAUUAGGUUUGGAAAUCUAAAAAAAUCCUUCAGACUUACUUAAUCAUAUCUCUUUACUCCUAUGCAUGUAGCGAAGGUGGAGAUUUUGAGAAAAGAAUGACAAGCAUAGCCUAAAGAUUGUGAUUUUCCGAAAUGUAGAAAUAUCAUCUCGCCAAAACAUAUCAGAAGAC